RNAcentral lists this transfer RNA (89 nucleotides) under Thermoleophilaceae bacterium. RNAcentral's name for it is "tRNA-Ser". It matches the Rfam family "tRNA". From Rfam's summary of the family: Transfer RNA (tRNA) molecules are approximately 80 nucleotides in length. Their secondary structure includes four short double-helical elements and three loops (D, anti-codon, and T loops). Further hydrogen bonds mediate the characteristic L-shaped molecular structure. tRNAs have two regions of fundamental functional importance: the anti-codon, which is responsible for specific mRNA codon recognition, and the 3' end, to which the tRNAs corresponding amino acid is attached (by aminoacyl-tRNA synthetases). tRNAs cope with the degeneracy of the genetic code in two manners: having more than one tRNA (with a specific anti-codon) for a particular amino acid; and 'wobble' base-pairing, i.e. permitting non-standard base-pairing at the 3rd anti-codon position. RNAcentral also lists the same sequence under 1 other name. Lineage: Bacteria; Bacillati; Actinomycetota; Thermoleophilia; Thermoleophilales; Thermoleophilaceae. The record is from RNAcentral.
GGAGAGGUGGCCGAGUGGCUGAAGGCACUCGCCUGCUAAGCGAGUAGAGGGUUCACGCUCUCUCGAGGGUUCGAAUCCCUCCCUCUCCG